GACGAACGCUGGCGGCGCGCUUAACACAUGCAAGUCGAGCGAUGAAAUCUUAACAGAACCCUUCGGGGUGAAGAUAAGACGGAUUAGCGGCGGACGGGUGGGUAACACGUGAGUAACCUGCCUUUUACACAGGGAUAGCCUCAGGAAACCGGGAUUAAAACCUGAUGAAACUAUCAAAUCACAUGAUUAAGAAAGUUAAAACUCCGGUGGUAAAAGAUGGACUCGCGUCCCAUUAGCUAGUUGGUGAAGGUAACGGCCCACCAAGGCAACGAUGGGUAGCCGGCCUGAGAGGGUGAACGGCCACAUUGGAACUGAGAAACGGUCCAAACUCCUACGGGAGGCUGCAGUGGGGAAUAUUGCACAAUGGGGGAAACCCUGAUGCAGCGACGCCGCGUGAGCGAAGAAGGCCUUCGGGUCGUAAAGCUCUUUUAUAUGGGAAGAUAAUGACGGUACCAUAAGAAAAAGCCCCGGCUAACUACGUG
This 482-nucleotide ribosomal RNA is filed under the name uncultured bacterium. Its description in RNAcentral is "partial 16S ribosomal RNA". It matches the Rfam family "Bacterial small subunit ribosomal RNA", at positions 28 to 507 of the family's 1533-position model. The record is from RNAcentral.